GUCUACAGUCAUGCCACCCCGGUAUGUGCCAGAUCUCAUCUGAUUUCGGAAGCUAAGCAGGGUCAGGCCUACUUAAUACUCUUUGAACCCUCUAAGCCUAUUAGGAAAGUAGAAA
This 115-nucleotide ribosomal RNA is filed under the name Nannospalax galili (Upper Galilee mountains blind mole rat). Lineage: Eukaryota; Metazoa; Chordata; Mammalia; Rodentia; Spalacidae. The record is from RNAcentral.